UUUCAGAUGUCUAAUAUAGAUGGACGCUGGACUUGUUACCUUUGCCACCAUUGCCCUUCUUCAGCUAAUUAUCAAAGCUUAUCAAAACAAGAAGACAGUAAGAAAACGAUUGUUUUUGUGGAUACAGAUUACAGGUUGUAUCUGCGCUGUUGCCAUUGUCAUUUAGCCUUUCAUCCUCAGUGUGAAGUGUUUGAGCUAGAGCUUAUUCUUACUGGCGAAGUAAAAGAAAUUUUGUGCACACCUUGCGCAAGCAAAAAUGGCUGAUGAUAAUAGAGUCUAUGUACAGUUGGAAUCAAGUGGAGGUGGCCAGACUUUACUUUUGGUUGAUAGUGAUAUGGCUAAAACAAUUACAGAAUGAUGCAACUUUCCGUGAAAAUUUUCAAAGGUGCCUCCAAGGAUCAGAAGAAAAUAAAGCUGAAGACAAUUCAUGUAAAUCUGAAGAAAUAAUGAAAGAUGAUAACAAAGGAG
Long non-coding RNA from Ruditapes philippinarum (Manila clam), 468 nucleotides. RefSeq lists it as uncharacterized. NCBI's taxonomy places the organism in Eukaryota, Metazoa, Mollusca, Bivalvia, Venerida, Veneridae. The transcript is spliced from 4 exons. The record is from RefSeq and is a predicted model, not a curated record.